CGCAUUCGCUAGGGGUGUUGUGCUGCCGGGUUUGCUGGCAGGACGACUGAGAAAGUCCCUUUGAACCUGAUUGAGGUAAUCCUCGCGCAGGGAAGCAGGUUAAAAACCGG
Non-coding RNA from Burkholderiales bacterium, 110 nucleotides. The record is from Rfam. NCBI's taxonomy places the organism in Bacteria, Pseudomonadati, Pseudomonadota, Betaproteobacteria, Burkholderiales.